GGCCUCUCUCCCAUGGAGCUGUGGAGGGAGCUUUUCUCCUCAGCUAGGAUCAGAGGCCUAAACCAAGUUAGAGGUUCGUUGUCAGGGCUGCCAUGAGCUAGGCAGCCUUGUUUUCCUGCCUCUGACAUUU
This is a non-coding RNA of Suncus etruscus (white-toothed pygmy shrew), 130 nucleotides long. The record is from RefSeq and is a predicted model, not a curated record. NCBI's taxonomy places the organism in Eukaryota, Metazoa, Chordata, Mammalia, Eulipotyphla, Soricidae.